Molecule: ribosomal RNA, 254 nt
Filed under: uncultured bacterium
Lineage: Bacteria
Description: partial 16S ribosomal RNA
Rfam family: Bacterial small subunit ribosomal RNA
Source: RNAcentral
UACGGAGGGUGCGAGCGUUGUCCGGAUUUAUUGGGUUUAAAGGGUGCGUAGGUGGGUUAAUAAGUCAGUGGUGAAAUACGGUUGCUCAACAAUCGAGGUGCCAUUGAUACUGUUAAUCUUGAAACAAGUGGAGGUUGCCGGAAUGGAUGGUGUAGCGGUGAAAUGCGCAGAUAUCGGGAGGAACACCGGUGGCGAAGGCGGCCAUCUGGACCGCAACUGACGCUGAGGCGCGAAAGCGUGGGGAGCAAACAGGG